CGAAGGGGGCUAGCGUUGCUCGGAAUCACUGGGGCGUAAAGGGGCGCGUAGGCGGACUUUUUAAGUCGGGGGUGAAAACCCAGGGGCUCAACCCUGGAAUUGCCUUCGAUACUGAGAGUCUUGAGUUCGGAAGAGGUUGGUGGAACUGCGAGUGUAGAGGUGAAAUUCGUAGAUAUUCGCAAGAACACCAGUGGCGAAGGCGGCCAACUGGUCCGAUACUGACGCUGAGGCGCGAAAGCGUGGGGAGCAAACAGGAUU
RNAcentral lists this ribosomal RNA (258 nucleotides) under uncultured bacterium. Its description in RNAcentral is "partial 16S ribosomal RNA". It matches the Rfam family "Bacterial small subunit ribosomal RNA", at positions 526 to 779 of the family's 1533-position model. The record is from RNAcentral.